RNAcentral lists this long non-coding RNA (696 nucleotides) under Oryza sativa Indica Group (long-grained rice). RNAcentral describes it as "lncRNA OsGoSa_01g0032900". Lineage: Eukaryota; Viridiplantae; Streptophyta; Magnoliopsida; Poales; Poaceae. RNAcentral also lists the same sequence under 1 other name. The record is from RNAcentral.
GCCGGGCUCGCCGGGCGGGGCACCGAAAUUCCGGUGUCGCACUGUCACACCCGCCCGCCACGUCUAGCGGUGGUCCGCCUGCUCAGCCUCUCCGUGCCGGCCGCCUCGCCGCUGGCGCCGGCCGUCAUCUGCACGUCCACCGUCACCUCCCCGGUGUCGCCGCCGGCUGCGCUGGUGGUGUACUCGGUGGACGGGUUCAGCCCGUACUCGCUAGUUGGCUCGCUGAACUCGCUGCUCGUGUACUCGCUGACGGUGCCCGUACCGGUGGCCGAGCCGAACGCCAUCUUCCUGAGCCGCUUCAUCUGGUCCGUCGUGCCGCCGCUCGUCCGCUGCAUCGCGCUCUGCCCGGGCGUCACGCCAGCGUUCAGGUCCUCCGCCGCCAGCUCGCCCUCCAGUGUACAAGCUACGGAGUUGCUGAAACCAGAAGCCGUGCGUGAAGGUGUGAGGAGUUUUGGCAAGAACCUGGCUCAUCCGCGGGCGAGACCGCGCGGUGUGGCGCACGGCGGCGGCCGCGCAGGCGAUCAGCCGCCCCAUGUCGUACGCGUCGUAGUUGUUCUCCAGCCUCGGGUCAACCAGCUCCUCGAAGUUCUCCUCCUCCACAGCUCUCACCAGCAGGGGUCUCGCCUGCUGGUCACCGUGAGACACCAUGAUAGGCUUCUUCCCGGUGAUCAGCUCCAGGAGCAUCACGCCGAAUGA